RNAcentral lists this unclassified non-coding RNA (276 nucleotides) under uncultured fungus. RNAcentral's name for it is "sequence contains ITS1, 5.8S rRNA gene". The stretch from base 228 to 276 matches the Rfam family "5.8S ribosomal RNA", at positions 1 to 49 of the family's 154-position model. Lineage: Eukaryota; Fungi. The record is from RNAcentral.
UUUCCGUAGGUGAACCUGCGGAAGGAUCAUUAUUGAAUGAAUGUAGAGUUUGGUUGUAGCUGGUCUUCCAAAGGCAUGUGCACACCAUUCUCUUUCAUCCACACACCCCUGUGCACUUGUUAAGACGGAGGCUGUUACUCUUUUAUUAGAGAGACGUUUCCGUCUGCUAACACAUAAAAUCAUAUAAUUUAAAUCUGAAUGUAAUUUGAUGUAACGCAUCUAAUACAAAGUUUCAACAACGGAUCUCUUGGCUCUCGCAUCGAUGAAGAACGCAGC